AAAAUAGAAACUAAUAUUCAGACUAAUAAUACGAAAAGUUUGAUGAAUAAUAAAGAAUUUCUUUAAACUUUUUGCAGUUUCAAUUCGGAAACUAAUGUUGAUAGUCUAUCAACCUUUUAAAUAAAGGUCUUUAUGAUCAGGUAUAACAAAAAGCGGGAGUAUCUCAUCUGCUAAAUAGAUGGUACAUGUGUACUACAAUUUGUACAACAAUUACCGUCACCGGGAACUUAAUGCAGUCUCCUAAAUGGAAGCGCUACAUCAUCCGACACUAGUGCAGUCUGUGCAGAAAAGAAAGUUUUAAAAAGUUGUAUAUUUUUACUACGGUUUUCAUGUACACCCUUUCACGAUAUUUGUAUGUAGCAUGUGUCAGUUAGAAGAUAGCUAGCAGUGCAAAAAAUAUUCAAACUGUCUCAGCCCGUAAUGUUAUUUUUAUUCUGCAAUGCUGCCAUGCACCUUCAUAGCCCAUAUAAAAAUUUAAAAAAAAGUUCAAGCAUUUUAUUUAUAUAUUUACACCUGCCUCUAAAUCGAUUAAUUAAUUAUCAAUCAACAGUUAUUCAAAUACAUAAAUUAUCAAUAUUGUCGACCAGAAUGCAAAACUAAAGGAACAGCUUAUGUUUCUAUGCAAGUGAAGGUUAGUGUUUAAGUACAUGUAACUAGUACUUCUUGGAGAUAUGGCUGUGGGGUCAGUCCGUUUAAGUCCGUGAAGUUCGUGCUCUUAGUUUAACUUUAGUUUUGAUCAAUCAAGAAAUAAUCCAUGCAAAGUCCACACAAGUACAAAGAACAAUAUACGAAGUAAAACUUAUAAACAUUGUAUUAUAGGUUCUUAAAUUAUAUAUGACAGCUAAACAACACAUUUGUCAGAAACUUUUAAUAAAAACAUAUUUAUGAACAUUAAAAGGUUGAUGGAUUAUGAUUUUCUUUAUUUAGUUUGUAUUUGGCGCCUUUUGUGUAUGACUUAAUUAGUAUUAUUUACAUUGUCUGCGCAUGCACUAGAAGAUAGCGUCUUUCGCCAUUGUUUUUAUUCUGUAAAGGAGAUUGGAGCAAGCCUUGGUGUAAAAAGAAUAAUCUUACCGUGACCAGGCUACGCUCAGGUUACAGUAAGAAUUCGUCCCAUAUAAUUGCAAUGUAGCAGCUGCGAAGCGGAUCUGCUUCGCGUCGAUUUUAAGUCUGUUAAAAAUAAUCUGCAGGGAAAAAACACAUUUUUAUACAUUACAAACCUUUUUGAAUAUGCAUAUGUUGUUUAGUCCACAAAAUAUCCAUUUAAUGAGUCGUACCAAGGCAUUUUGUUAAAUUACACGUUUGAAUUUGCCUGCCAUUAUGUCGGAAAUCGCACUCGGGAUAUCUUGUAUUUUAUCAUUAACAUGGCAACCAUAAACAGCGAAUUUUCAAACGUGAUGUUAAAAGUGACAGUGAUUUCGUUGCAAAAACAGAAAAUGUGGUAACAUAGGAUUAUAAAAGAGCAACAUUGUAGGUAUUUGAGACCAUUCAUAUGAAAAUUUAGGCAAGAUACAGCGCGAUGUAAUCUAUUUAUUUGCUACGAUGCGAGUAUAUGGGUCGAAUUCUAUCGUUAAACCGGGUCCGUAGGACAUCUGUCAUUUUAACGAUAGAACCUUCUAUCUAGCCUAAGUGUGGUUUUUUUGGUGUUUUUGUGAGCUUUAAUUGAUACCAUAUAUCAAGAUUGUUGUAGCAGAGGGAACAUGUGACCAGAGGAUACAACCUGAUUAAAGACUCAGCUACCUGUAUAGUAGUAUUCCGGUAUAGUAGAUUGGACUACACGUUCUACCCCGAUACUUUUUAAUUUUGUUGGACAUUUUGCAAGAGUUAAAGGAUGACUUCCGCACCUAAACGCCGUCGCACCAGGAAGUCCCACCAGCAACCAAACAGCACGACGCAGCCCAAUCAAACUGAGAACAUCAGUGCGACAGUGCAUCCCUAACUCAAGAAAAAAUGAAACUUCGCAGGAGGCAGCUAUAUUAGCUCCAGGAAUAUCCACCUUGAUGAAAAUCACCUCACCAGAUUCAGCACAAUGACCAGUACCCCAAAAUGGACAGGAAACCCACGGUGGUCCCACCAGAACUCCUUCAUCUUUAAUGACCACAGCUAAUUUUCUGAUUAGCAAAUCGCUUUCUGAAGAGUCAAGGUCAUCAUACAAGAACAUUUUUCUAACUUACAAACAAUUCCUGCAGGAUCACAUUGACAAAGCAGCUAAUCCUUUGGUGCCAAAAUUGUCACAUCUAGUUUCAUAUAUUGCCCAUUUCCCUCCCCAAGGUUUAGCCGCAUCACAACAGCUCGACCACACAUAUCUGCUUUGUGUUUAAUUUUCCAACUUGGGGGCCAUCAAGAUCUCACUCAACAUUUCAUUAUUAAAAAGCACCUACAGUGUUAUUCUAAAAUAAAACCUUCGCAGGAUGCAAGACUGCCUAUUAUCCCCACUAUCUUGUCAAAAAUUAUAUUAUCCCUUCCCCAUGUAAUUAAUUCAGCUUUUAUUAAGGGCUUACUUCAUGCUAUGUAUGUGCUUGCCUUUAGUGCAUUCUUAAGAGUAGGCGAAAUUGCUAAAACGGGGAAGCUAAACCAGCAUUUUUUGCUAGUAAAUUACAUAAAUAUUACAGCUAGUCCAAAUCAGGAAAAUUCAAUAGAUCUGACAAUAUCCCAUUGCAAACAUUCUAUUAGGCCAAUAUUCCUUCAAAUUAGUCGGAACUUGGAAAAUCCUUUACUCUGUCCGCUUAGAGCCUUACAAUAUUUUAUGCAGAUAAGAAAGCAUGCUUCACAAAAUGGAGCCCUGUUUUCUUUCAUGGAUGGAAACCCAGUUUCCCGCCGAUGUUUUACAAAAAAUCUACAAAAUUCCCUUGCUUUUUGCGGAUUAGACACAGAGCGGUACCAAUCUCACAGUUUUCGUAUAGGAGCAGCCACCGCUGCAGCAGAUCUCGGGGCUUCUGAUAUUCAGAUUCAAAACAUGGGCAGAUGGAAAUCAACAGCUUUUAAAAAAUACAGAAGGGUCCCAGUUUUAACUCUGUAACUCUACAUAUUCUGCAGCAAACCGUUUUUAUUGGCUUUUGAGUGUCAAUGACUAAACUAGACCAUUGAGUCAGGGGUUUCUGGUCAAGUCUGUCAAUUUUUAUACUUUUGAAGUUUUGUGUGGACAUAUUUAGCACCUUGUUCAAUACUAAAUUGGUUUCAUAUUUUGUUUAGUGUCAUAUAUUACAUAUAAGUUGCUAAAUAGCUGUACAUUGAAGAGAGGGGCUUCUUGUUUUCUCCUAACAACUAUUAACUUCUUUGCAUUUUGAUCAAUCACUGGACUCUGAAGUCAGGGGCUUCCUGUUCAGUUUUUCUUUGUGUUCUUUCAAAUAAAACUGUUUUAAUUUGUACCUUAUAAUACCAUGAUCACCAUGAUCGAUACUGCUAGGGUGAUGGAUGGGGCUUAUCAACACCUGUCACGGGUGUUGAUAUGUGGCGGCAAUGGCCCCAUCUUUGACGCUGUUUAACAUUUUACAUUUGUAUCUUUUUCAUCAUGUACUUUUUGACUUGAUUCUGGUAUUAAUUAUGGUACUGUUGUUUAAACCUUUGGACUGUUUAGGUUCUAAACAGUAUUAUUGUAUAUACAUUUUUUUGUAUGAUGAGGUAGUAUUUUUUUUAUAACUACAUUUCUCUUUGUGUAUGUAUUGUGCAUACAUGUAUUUUGUUUCAGGAGUGUAGCAUUGAUAGUUGGCUACAUUCCUCUGUUUAAAUAUUCUUUGUUAUUUAUUUCCUCAAUAAAUGACCAUUCUAAUUUCUAAAAAAUGUAUUGUGUUAAUGUGUCAACAAGUAACAUGUCAAACGGAGCAUCACCCUAUCAGU
Magallana angulata is the source of this 3834-nucleotide long non-coding RNA. RefSeq lists it as uncharacterized. Lineage: Eukaryota; Metazoa; Mollusca; Bivalvia; Ostreida; Ostreidae. The record is from RefSeq and is a predicted model, not a curated record. The transcript has 4 exons.